UAUGUCUGGUUUCCCUUCAGCAUUCGAGUUAAUCUUUCGCCUUUUACUAAAGAUUACCGUGGAGAGGAACAUUACAAUGAGCCUAUACGAAAUUUUUGGAAUUCCGCCUAAUGGUGGGGU
This is a small nuclear RNA of Stegodyphus dumicola, 120 nucleotides long. RefSeq annotates it as U5 spliceosomal RNA. NCBI's taxonomy places the organism in Eukaryota, Metazoa, Arthropoda, Arachnida, Araneae, Eresidae. The record is from RefSeq and is a predicted model, not a curated record.